UCCGUAGGGUGAACCUGCGGAAGGAUCAUUACCGAGUGCGGGCCCUCGCGGCCCAACCUCCCACCCUUGUCUCUAUACACCUGUUGCUUUGGCGGGCCCACCGGGGCCACCUGGUCGCCGGGGGACGCACGUCUCCGGGCCCGCGCCCGCCGAAGCGCUCUGUGAACCCUGAUGAAGAUGGGCUGUCUGAGUACUGUGAAAAUUGUCAAAACUUUCAACAAUGGAUCUCUUGGUUCCGGCAUCGAUGAAGAACGCAGCGAAAUGCGAUAAGUAAUGUGAAUUGCAGAAUUCCGUGAAUCAUCGAAUCUUUGAACGCACAUUGCGCCCCCUGGCAUUCCGGGGGGCAUGCCUGUCCGAGCGUCAUUUCUGCCCUCAAGCACGGCUUGUGUGUUGGGUGUGGUCCCCCCGGGGACCUGCCCGAAAGGCAGCGGCGACGUCCGUCUGGUCCUCGAGCGUAUGGGGCUCUGUCACUCGCUCGGGAAGGACCUGCGGGGGUUGGUCACCACCAUGUUUUACCACGGUUGACCUCGGAUCAGGUAGGAGUUACCCGCUGAACUUAAGCAUAUCAAUAAGCGGGAGG
This 580-nucleotide ribosomal RNA is filed under the name Talaromyces pinophilus. Its description in RNAcentral is "eukaryotic LSU rRNA". The stretch from base 210 to 363 matches the Rfam family "5.8S ribosomal RNA". The record is from RNAcentral. Lineage: Eukaryota; Fungi; Ascomycota; Eurotiomycetes; Eurotiales; Trichocomaceae.